UUCUUGUCCUUCCUCUCAAAACACAGAUCCUGUAGCUUUUUCCAGACAGCCUUUACUAUUUCCUUACCCUCAGUAUUAAGAAUUUUUCAUGUAAGGUGUUCUCAGAAUCUUGCAAGUAUCCUUGUACCCAUUUCUUUUUGAAGAACAUGACCUUUAUUGAGCAGAAAUUGUUUCCUACUUGCAUUUUUUCAGACUUUAACCAUGAUUGUCUUUUUAGAAAUGUACAGAAAUGAAGAUGGUUCAGUACCUGCCACAUAUCAGAUCUAUUACAUGAUAGGAUGGAAAUAUCAUGAGUCACAGGCAAGACCAGCUGAAAGAGGCUCCGCAACUGUGUCAUUUGGAGAGCUAGGAAAAAUAAACAACCUUAUGCCACAGGGGAAUAAAUCACAAUAAAUAUUUAUUCAAUGUUAA
RNAcentral lists this small RNA (411 nucleotides) under Pongo abelii (Sumatran orangutan). RNAcentral describes it as "processed transcript". Lineage: Eukaryota; Metazoa; Chordata; Mammalia; Primates; Hominidae. The record is from RNAcentral.